Molecule: long non-coding RNA, 503 nt
Organism: Drosophila mojavensis
Lineage: Eukaryota; Metazoa; Arthropoda; Insecta; Diptera; Drosophilidae
Exons: 2
Source: RefSeq, a predicted model, not a curated record
UAUUUAAGUAAUAAUAUAAUUCGAUAUACAUAUACAAAGCAACAAAUAAAUAAAAAAUCGAAGUCGUAGCAAUUUAUAAUAUGCGUGGCUAACAUCGAUAAAUAUUCGGUAAGGGUAUUAAAAGACGAACCACAACCAACAAUUCGAGCAACAAUGUAGCCGACUAAUGAAGACAUUCCAUUCUGUUGCCUUAUACUCGAUGAAGUAUUCAACUAUAAAAAAGAAAAAAGCCCGAAAACCGGUCCAUUCAAUCUUUAUUUUAGACACGACGGUAUACAUAUAUAUGUGUAUACAUACAUAUGUACAUGCAUAUGUAUAAAUGAAUGUACAGACACGUAUAUAUGUAUGUAUGUAUGCUUUAAUUUCAGCUUUUGUAUGCGUGCUGCCCGCUCACGGCGUGUGUUUUGUAUAAGGGUGUAUGACACGUGCUAAAUGUCCAGAAAAUAAUGCUUGCUUUUUAAAACUAAAUUGGAUGUACUUAUGUACAUAUGUAUGUAUAAUAA